Molecule: long non-coding RNA, 2191 nt
Organism: Chenopodium quinoa (quinoa)
Lineage: Eukaryota; Viridiplantae; Streptophyta; Magnoliopsida; Caryophyllales; Amaranthaceae
Exons: 5
Source: RefSeq, a predicted model, not a curated record
AAUUUUGAGGUUUCAACAUGACAAAAAUAAGCUAAGAGCAUACUUCGCGCCAUUUUUUCAACAAUUCAAAAUUCCCAAAAAAGUGAAAUUUGAAAGUAAUAUUAGUUCCAUCACUAUAAUCUACCUCAUAAUUAGCAAAUGUAACCAAAAUGAGCAAGAAAAAGCAAUAAAAUCGAGCAAAAUUUGAAGAAAAAGAGCAAGAACGAACUUGAACAAAGAAAUGCCAUCUCUCUAGGUCGGAUAAGCUUUCUAGAAGAAUAUCGAACUAUUGAGGCUUGUGAAAAGCUUUGUGACAAUACUCACUCUUGUCUUGGUCCUAAUGAUUAACAGGGAAGAUGGAGAACUUGAAUUAAAACUAAAGUGAUAAGUAAAGUGACAUUUUCCGCUCUUUAGGACCUUUUAAACAGCAGCAUCAAAAUUUGUAGCAGUUGAGUUUAUAAAUCUGACCAUCAUGUCGCAGAGCUCUUUCAAGCUUCAACAUUUUCUUGAAAAUCAGUUGUCGGGGAAUCUCAGCCAUUUUCCGUUUGUUUCCCCCUAAUUUUUCUUCUCACUUUGGCUUCCAUUUUCUGUUGCCAUUUUUGCCAACACCUCUACCGUCUACUGUCACAACCUCUCAGGCUUAAUUUUCCCCUAACGGCUUGCUGAGGUUAUUUGGUUCAUUUCUCAUCCCCCUUUUUUUUUUUCUAAUUCUAGAAUAAUGAUGCUGAAUGAAUAGUGGGUUCUAUGAAUUUGUUUUGGGGUGUCUUGAGUGAUUUUGAUAUUGUCUCUCAGGAAUUUGUCUUGAAUUGUUGUGCCUUGCUUCUUACUUGUGAUGCAGUUUGCUGGGUUAUGCUUUCCCAAUCAAGGGAUGGCAACUUCAUGUGAUAUGCCUAUUUCUGUUUUGAAAUUUGACACCUCUCUAAAAUGAUAUAUAGAAGGGGAAAGGUACCAGUAUAGAGGAACAUUAUCAAGUUAUUGUUAUGGGGUGCAGCUGUCUGGGACAUUAUUUCUCAAGGUAGUGCUUUUUGGUCAGAUAGAUUUUGCAAAUAGUUAGCUUGAAUAAGAUACUUAGGAAAAAGGUCAAUGACUUUUUCUAUAAUCUAUACUUCUUUCUAAGUAGUGAGCAGCUCAGGUCUUGUUUUGAUGUUUCUAGGGGCAUUAAAAUGUGCAGUUCUCUUUUUUUCAUUACUCUGUACCAUGAUGAUUGGUGUAUUAUUGCCACAAUGUGCAGGUCUUGUUUCAAUGUUUCUAGGGGAAUUAAAAUGUGCAGUUCUCUUUUUUUCAUUACUCUGUACCAUGAUGAUUGGUGUAUUAUUGCCACAAUUGCAGGUCUUGUUUCAAUGUUUCUAGGGGAAUUAAAAUGUGCAGUUCUCUUUUUUUCAUUACUUUGUACCAUGAUGAUUGAUGUAUUUCCACAAUGACACAUUUUCCACAUUGCUAUUUUGGUGGAUUCUUUUUGGGAUAGCAUUUGUCUGAACUUUAUUUUAUAUAAUUAAUAAAGAAAGGAAGGUUUAAGACAAUAUUAUGCUAUCGCAUUUUUCAUGUUAUGACAUGAGCAUGACGCCAUUAGUUUCCAUUGUGAUUUUCAAAAAAAUAUGAAGAUUCUAGGUGGCAGUACUUGAUGGGUGGAAUAUUUCAUUUUGUGUAAAUUUCUUGUUUGUUUUAAUUCCUUUGUGAUAUAUUCAGAGCUUCCUUGUAGCCUUUUUUCCCUUAAAAAAUCAGUGAUUUAUUGGAGGGUUUGAUGUCUCGGGUCAUCUGCCGCUCAGGUUGACGUUCCAACUUUGGUUCCAAUGGAAGGAAUUGAUUCUCUUGGACAAAUUUAAAUACUUAAACGGGUCCUUUAGGUCCGGUUUCAUCAUCAUCUGCUACCCUUAAAGUUUUCAUUACAGUGUAAUGGCAAGAAAUACCCUGUCAAGUUGCGGCCUGAUAUUGGAUACUUUAUAAAGCCCUUAAAAAUGGAUGUUCCAGAAUUUAGAAAUAAGGAAUCACAGUUGCAUGGCAUGUUUGAAUAUGUGAGAAGUGCUUAAGGAGGUAAGAGAGAUGCUCGGAUGAAGUGUGAUUCUACAAGGUGGAAGCCGAGGAUGAAUUCUAUGAAGACAUACCCUGUCAUUUAACGGAUUGGACUGACUGUAUUUAUUUUAUUUUACGUAUCAUAAUCUGUAAUCUUUUGCAAAAUUUCAAUUGUUUUUAGGGAAUAAGUGUCAACAACUUA